Non-coding RNA from Cubamyces sp. BRFM 1775, 85 nucleotides. The record is from the annotation of a GenBank genome assembly. NCBI's taxonomy places the organism in Eukaryota, Fungi, Basidiomycota, Agaricomycetes, Polyporales, Polyporaceae.
GCCGGGAUAGCUCAGCUGGGAGAGCAACAGACUGAAGCUAUCGAGAGCCUUCUGGAGGUCGCGUGUUCAAUCCACGCUCCUGGCA